AUGAUUUUCAAGGCAUGUGGGGAAGCGCACACGCACCAGUCCGGUCCCUCACAUGAAAGACCGCCUCGGCGAACAAACAGCUGGCAGCGAUGCCAGGGCUUAUUAGCAAAGUUGUUCAUCUUGUGCGAUUCCACAAGCACGGAAUUCCACGUGGAACCCACUCUCUGGCACGGAAAUGUAAUUGAUGGGUUUUUUUAUUUUCAAAAACUGAUGUGCUUGUUCUAUUUUUUAGAAAAACAUUGGGCUUUCCCCCCUAUCACAUUUAAUAUGUUGGAAUACAGCCAGGAGCCGGCCUUGCCUCAAGGCACCAUGUGGCACUGGCUUCGGGCAGAAAAUGAUGAUGGCAUCCAUUGCAUGGCAUCUGUCCUUCUAAGACUCUUAACCCUUCCACCCUUCCUUCCUUCCUUCCUCUCCCCUUCCCUCCCUCUCUUCACUUUCUCCUUCCUUCCUUCCUUCCUUCCUUCCUUCCUUCCUUCCUUCCUUCCUUCCUUCCUUCCUUCCUUCCUUCCUUCCUUCCUUCUUUAUCUCCCUUUACUUUCCCCUUCCUUCCUUCAUCCCUCCCUCCUCCAUUUUCCCUUCUUUGCUUCCCUGUCCUUCCUUCCUUCCUUCCUUCCUUCUUUCCUUCCUUCCUUCCUUCCUUCCUCUCCCCUUCCCUCCCUCUCUUCACUUUCUUCUUCCUUCCUUCCUUCCUGCCUGCCUUAUUCCCUCCCUUUACUUUUCCUUUCCUUCCUUCUUUCCUUCCUCCUCCAUUUACCCUUCUUUCCUUCCCCUUUCUUCCUUCCUUUUCCUCCCUCUCAUCACUUUCUCCUUCCUUCCUUCCUUCCUUUCGCUCCCUUUUCCUCCCUCUCUUCACUUCUUCCUUCCUUCCUUCCUUCCUUCCUUCCUUCCUUCCUUCCUUCCUUCCUUCCUUCCUUUCGCUUCCUUUUCCUCCCUCCCUUUACUUUCCCCUUCCUUCCUCCCUUCCUCAACUUCCCCUUCCUUCCUUUGUUCCUUCGUCCCUUCCUUCCUUCUUUCCUUCUUCCCUCCCUCCUCCAACUUCCUCUUCCUUUAUUCCUUCCUUUCUUCCCUCCCUCCCUUCUCCAUUUCCCCUUCUUUCAUUCCUUCCUUCCUUCCUCCCUCUCUUCCUCCCUUCACUUUCCCUGA
RNAcentral lists this long non-coding RNA (1143 nucleotides) under Anolis carolinensis (green anole). Its description in RNAcentral is "lncRNA (ENSACAG00000037287.1)". The record is from RNAcentral. Lineage: Eukaryota; Metazoa; Chordata; Lepidosauria; Squamata; Anolidae.